AGUGAACGCUGGCGGUAGGCCUGACACAUGCAAGUCGAACGGCAGCACAGGAGAGCUUGCUCUCUGGGUGGCGAGUGGCGGACGGGUGAGGAAUACAUCGGAAUCUACUUUUUCGUGGGGGAUAACGUAGGGAAACUUGCGCUAAUACCGCAUACGACCUACGGGUGAAAGCAGGGGACCUUCGGGCCUUGCGCGAUUGAAUGAGCCGAUGUCGGAUUAGCUAGUUGGCGGGGUAAAGGCCCACCAAGGCGACGAUCCGUAGCUGGUCUGAGAGGAUGAUCAGCCACACUGGAACGGAGACACGGUCCAGACUCCUACGGGAGGCAGCAGUGGGGAAUAUUGGACAAUGGGCGCAAGCCUGAUCCAGCCAUACCGCGUGGGUGAAGAAGGCCUUCGGGUUGUAAAGCCCUUUUGUUGGGAAAGAAAUCCAGCUGGCUAAUACCCGGUUGGGAUGACGGUACCCAAAGAAUAAGCACCGGCUAACUUCGUGCCAGCCGCCGCCGUAA
This 506-nucleotide ribosomal RNA is filed under the name uncultured bacterium. RNAcentral describes it as "partial 16S ribosomal RNA". It matches the Rfam family "Bacterial small subunit ribosomal RNA", at positions 29 to 523 of the family's 1533-position model. The record is from RNAcentral.